This 250-nucleotide long non-coding RNA is filed under the name Elaeis guineensis (African oil palm). RNAcentral describes it as "long non-coding RNA (EGUI_LNC025391)". The record is from RNAcentral. Lineage: Eukaryota; Viridiplantae; Streptophyta; Magnoliopsida; Arecales; Arecaceae.
UACAGCUUGCACUUCUUAGAAUAAAACGCACAUUACUUGAUUCGGCCACAUAUUGAGCAGGCAUGUAUGUGCACUGAUAACAAAAAUAUAGACGAUAUAUCUUAGCUGAAUGCUAUGCGGUCAAUAAAUAUUUUUUAUGCCGAUAUGCCUUAAUUAUUUUUUGGUACAUCAAUAUACCUUAAUUAUUAUCUGUAGAUAUUUCACAAAGCCAUCACUCUGAGAUGAUGUCUUGAUACAAUCAAAAAAGGAA